RNAcentral lists this ribosomal RNA (431 nucleotides) under uncultured bacterium. RNAcentral's name for it is "partial 16S ribosomal RNA". It matches the Rfam family "Bacterial small subunit ribosomal RNA", at positions 29 to 507 of the family's 1533-position model. The record is from RNAcentral.
AACGAACGCUGGCGGCAGGCCUAACACAUGCAAGUCGAGCGCCCCGCAAGGGGAGCGGCGGACGGGUGAGUAACGCGUGGGAAUAUGCCCUUUGCUACGGAAUAGUCUCGGGAAACUGGGGGUAAUACCGUAUACGCCCUUUGGGGGAAAGAUUUAUCGGCGAAGGAUUAGCCCGCGUUGGAUUAGGUAGUUGGUGGGGUAAUGGCCUACCAAGCCGACGAUCCAUAGCUGGUUUGAGAGGAUGAUCAGCCACACUGGGACUGAGACACGGCCCAGACUCCUACGGGAGGCAGCAGUGGGGAAUCUUAGACAAUGGGGGCAACCCUGAUCUAGCCAUGCCGCGUGAGUGAUGAAGGCCUUAGGGUUGUAAAGCUCUUUCAGCUGGGAAGAUAAUGGCGGUACCAGCAGAAGAAGCCCCGGCUAACUCCGUG